CGCCCGAACACAAAUAGCAACCGGAGACCGAUGACGGUAUCUCAGUGAUUGGUCCUGAGCGCUGCUUCCUUUGCGGUUUCAUUGGCUCACCGUUUAACAGAAGAAGUUGCCAACAUAGAGCGGAGAGAAUACAUCAUCACUCCCUGCAAGCAUGUUUUGAAUUUUAUGGUGUGGCAAUGAUGUCAGCGUUUUACAUGGAGCCUUCAUGAGUGCCGCCUUGUACCUGUUCUUUCUCCAGAAUGAUCUGUGCUGUUUGAGAAGAAAAUGAAACCACCCCAUAUCUUUGUGUUCCACAUGUCCCUUUACCAGAGAGAUUGUAAGAAGCUUCCAAAACAGCCAUAUUGUGGGUCAAACACUCUCAUAGGUAAUAUUACGUCAGAUCCCUCUCACACUUCAUUUGAAGAAUAUCAGCUUUUGCCACUACAC
Epinephelus moara (kelp grouper) is the source of this 426-nucleotide long non-coding RNA. RefSeq lists it as uncharacterized. NCBI's taxonomy places the organism in Eukaryota, Metazoa, Chordata, Actinopteri, Perciformes, Serranidae. The transcript is spliced from 3 exons. The record is from RefSeq and is a predicted model, not a curated record.